This 1138-nucleotide ribosomal RNA is filed under the name uncultured bacterium. RNAcentral's name for it is "bacterial SSU rRNA". It matches the Rfam family "Bacterial small subunit ribosomal RNA", at positions 353 to 1482 of the family's 1533-position model. The record is from RNAcentral.
AGUGGGGAAUUUUGGACAAUGGGGGCAACCCUGAUCCAGCCAUGCCGCGUGAGUGAAGAAGGCCUUCGGGUUGUAAAGCUCUUUCAGCCGGGAAGAAAUCACAUGGGUUAAUACCCUGUGUGGAUGACGGUACCGGAAUAAGAAGCACCGGCUAACUACGUGCCAGCAGCCGCGGUAAUACGUAGGGUGCGAGCGUUAAUCGGAAUUACUGGGCGUAAAGCGUGCGCAGGCGGUUUGUUAAGAUAGGCGUGAAAUCCCCGGGCUCAACCUGGGAACUGCGUUUAUGACUGGCAGGCUAGAGUAUGGCAGAGGGGGGUGGAAUUCCACGUGUAGCAGUGAAAUGCGUAGAGAUGUGGAGGAACACCGAUGGCGAAGGCAGCCCCCUGGGCCAAUACUGACGCUCAUGCACGAAAGCGUGGGUAGCAAACAGGAUUAGAUACCCUGGUAGUCCACGCCCUAAACGAUGUCAACUAGGUGUUGGGUGGGUAAAACCAUUUAGUACCGGAGCUAACGCGUGAAGUUGACCGCCUGGGGAGUACGGCCGCAAGGUUAAAACUCAAAGGAAUUGACGGGGACCCGCACAAGCGGUGGAUGAUGUGGAUUAAUUCGAUGCAACGCGAAAAACCUUACCUACCCUUGACAUGUCCAGAAGCUCUUAGAGAUUUGAGUGUGCCCGAAAGGGAACUGGAACACAGGUGCUGCAUGGCUGUCGUCAGCUCGUGUCGUGAGAUGUUGGGUUAAGUCCCGCAACGAGCGCAACCCUUGUCGUUAAUUGCCAUCAUUUAGUUGGGCACUUUAACGAGACUGCCGGUGACAAACCGGAGGAAGGUGGGGAUGACGUCAAGUCCUCAUGGCCCUUAUGGGUAGGGCUUCACACGUCAUACAAUGGUCGGUACAAAGGGUUGCCAACCCGCGAGGGGGAGCUAAUCCCAGAAAGCCGAUCGUAGUCCGGAUCGUAGGCUGCAACUCGCCUGCGUGAAGUCGGAAUCGCUAGUAAUCGUGGAUCAGCAUGUCACGGUGAAUACGUUCCCGGGUCUUGUACACACCGCCCGUCACACCAUGGGAGCGGGUUCCGCCAGAAGUAGGUAGCCUAACCGCAAGGAGGGCGCUUACCACGGCGGGGUUCGUGACUGGGGUG